GCGUAAGCGCACGCAGGCGGUCUGUCAAGUCGGAUGUGAAAUCCCCGGGCUCUUCCUGGGAACUGCAUUCGAAACUGGCAGGCUAGAGUCUUGCAGAGGGGGGUAGAAUUCCAGGUGUAGCGGUGAAAUGCGUAGAGAUCUGGAGGAAUACCGGUGGCGAAGGCGGCCCCCUGGACAAAGACUGACGCUCAGGUGCGAAAGCGUGGGGAGCAAACAGGAUUAGAUACCCUGGUACUCCACGCCGUAAACGAUGUCGACUUGGAGGUUGUGCCCU
Molecule: ribosomal RNA, 274 nt
Filed under: Enterobacter cloacae
Lineage: Bacteria; Pseudomonadati; Pseudomonadota; Gammaproteobacteria; Enterobacterales; Enterobacteriaceae
Description: partial 16S ribosomal RNA
Rfam family: Bacterial small subunit ribosomal RNA
Source: RNAcentral